GUCAGGCUAAGUGGAGAUGCUGACAAAUCCGAGACUGCAGCUAGCCAGGCCUGAAGUAGAGGCUGGCAAGCAGAAAACGGUAAGCGGUGAGGCUCCCUGAGGGAUUCCAAUGAGUUCUCUUUCUUUGGAAGCAUGACGGGGGUCCUGGGGACCAGUGUACUGCCACUAUGGGCUGGGGUGUUUCUGCCCUGCUCACUAGCACUGCAGAGCUGAGGUGGAGUGCUGGGAGGCUCCCUCCUUGGCCUGUGGGCUUCCUUUCUAACCUCUACUGUCCUCCUCUCUCCCUUUUCUCCACCACUGUGUGACCUCCCAACCUAGGCCUCCCCAGCCUGUGGUUCAGAGCUUCAAGGCAGAUCUCCCAGUGAGCUGUCCUGCACCGCUGCUGCUGAGGACAAAGCAAGCAAAGGUCUUUUCUGACUUUGGUUUAGAGGAGGUGACACAAAACCAUGGUUUCUGGAGUUGUUUUUUGUCGCUGCUACCAUCCUCUGGCUCAGGAGCAGCUAGGCUUCUUGGCACCACCGCUCAGCAUUCCAUCUCCCAGUGUCCAAGCGCUUUCCACCCAGGUGAGUGGGUUCAGCAUUGCUACCCAGUGCUGGGAAGCCCAGGGUCUGUUGACUACUCCUGAAGCGUUAUGCCCAAUACCCAUAA
Molecule: long non-coding RNA, 648 nt
Organism: Rattus rattus (black rat)
Lineage: Eukaryota; Metazoa; Chordata; Mammalia; Rodentia; Muridae
Exons: 2
Source: RefSeq, a predicted model, not a curated record